This 379-nucleotide long non-coding RNA is filed under the name Fukomys damarensis (Damara mole-rat). RNAcentral's name for it is "lncRNA (ENSFDAG00000024279.1)". Lineage: Eukaryota; Metazoa; Chordata; Mammalia; Rodentia; Bathyergidae. The record is from RNAcentral.
GGAGGGUGGUACUGCAGUCGUUUUAAAAGCUUAGUAGGUGGGAAGAAGAAAUAUUCCCUGACAGCUGCUGCGCAUCCACUUAGGCUGGAGUUUCUGCUCGGGAAAAUCCGGGCUUGUGACUGAAUGGUGCUUCCUUGGUCUCCCUAGGAGUAUGCAAAGCAAAGCAGUUAAAGGACGUGGAAGGUUUAUAGUAACUUUGACUCUCCUGUCGCAAUGAGCUACUCACUCUGAGGGAAUGGAAAAGGAAAACUACAGGAAGAAGAGAACAUGAAUUAAUUUCUCACGUUAUUGAAGCCAUCGUAGAAAUAGUGAACUGUCACAGAGCAAGCCCCCAAUGAAUGGUAGGUUCUGUGUUCAAUGUUUUACUGGUGCUAAUUCU